AGCUUCUAGCCCCGCCCCCUCCAUUGACACUGGGGCCAAGCGCCUCCGCUGCUUGCAGUCCCUUCCCACCCCCGAGGCCUUUGCGGAUGGCUAUUAAGUUUACCCGGGUCUUUGGGUCGCUGUGGGCCCUCACCGACGAUAGUCUGGGAAAUGGUGGGGAAGGGGUCUAGAGAAAGAGGGGGGCCUGUGGGACCUGCACCAGCGAUUUCAUCCUUGAGACCCUAAAAUAUAGGGCCUGUCGGCGGAGUCUCCAUCUGGGUCCCCGUUUUUCCUUCCCAGGCUCACCCCGGCCCCAUUCAACAGGCAUUUACAAAAUCCAUCCUCCUGGCUGGGAGUCUUCCCGGCAGGCUGCCGGCCGCUGGUGCAAGAGACAAUGAGUUCAGUCCCUGCCCCUGCCCAACAGAAGGCAGGGAGAAUAAGGCUCGAAUAAUGUCUCAGUCCCAAGAUCCGCUGUGUUGCUUGUUCUCUUCAUUGAAUUUUUGGCAUCUUGAAAGUAGAGGUGAGUCCCCCUAGCAGAGGAGGUGGAGCAGGUAGAGAAGUCCCAUCCAAUCCCAUCUCAAGCUGCUUUUCCUAAAGGAUCUCUGCAAACUCUGCAAACAGGAGUUUCUAAAUAAAGGAUCCUGGACUUUCCUGGAAUGGAGGGAAAUUUCUUUUGGUUUUCCCCAGAGUCUGAAAGGCUACCAGCUGCCACUGUUGGUUGGUUAUCCAGACAUGAGCAUCUCAAAGGCCUUUAUACUAAGCACAUUGGUCUCAAAGGAAAAGAGGAAGGUGAAGACUCAACCCCUCACCCCCAAGUCUGGCUGCUCUUCUUUGGGUCCUAUUCAAAACACCUAUAAAAAAUGCAUAAAUUUUUGUAUCACUUGCAGAAUAGCUAAUAAAUAGUACCAAAGCA
Molecule: non-coding RNA, 892 nt
Organism: Monodelphis domestica (gray short-tailed opossum)
Lineage: Eukaryota; Metazoa; Chordata; Mammalia; Didelphimorphia; Didelphidae
Source: RefSeq, a predicted model, not a curated record